UCAGUGCUUCACGGCAAACAGUUUGUGCGUUGUUGGUGGAUCAAACACUGGGAGGCUCAUUUAGUCAGUGUGUCGCGGAGCAAAUCAUGUGUACAGUGUUCCAGGAUGAAGCACCACAAUGAUACAAGUGCAGUGCUUAGGUUUGUGAAGGACGCGCCAUCACGUGGGCAGCCAUGAUCCCCUCCAUGCAGCUCCUGGAUGCCACGCGCCGCAACAAGUGGUAACACGGAGAGCAAGUGGAAGAAACCUUGGGAGACUUCCAUGACUCAGGAACAAGCACACCUCACUGGGAGCCUUGUGACUGACAGGUGGUUCAGACCGACUGGGAGACAUGACGUCAGUGCCACCACGCAGGGAGUAAAACCAAGAGGAGGAAGAGGAGCAUUCAAGAGACAUCAGCUGGCCAGCAGUCCAUUCAGUUUCACAACAGGAAGUGAAGGAUGAAGCAUGAAGGUUUUAGGCCAAAAUGAACAGACAGCAAUCAGGAAUGACACGUCCAGCAAAACCGGCAACACAGCAACACACACACACACCCAGGCUUCCAAGUUGAUAAUCCAAAAGCCAGCAGAUGACAGCUUCCUUCCAGCACACACUUGUAUCGCCCAACUUGACCUGCCUGAAUACAAGCUGAUACAGUCCAUGCAGCAGAGUAAAUUUGGCAAUAGGUUUGAACUGGUACCAACACCCAAACUGGCACAUCAGAUCCACUUUUGGUGCACCACUCGCUGACGUAACAGAAUGGUGUUGAUCCAGUUUGUCGUCCAUGUGCAUUGUUUGAUUUUUGUGAACCUCCCAACAGCCAUCUUACUGUUUUUUUUUUGCUGCAAUUAACCACAUCUUUGGUGUGGAGCCUCUACAAGUGGUGGAGGGCAUGGACACUUGGAUAUGGAUGACACUGGUUUGGGUGCCAAAUAUUAAUAGUGCACCUACACAAUUACCACACUCGAUCCUCUCACCAGGCUUAACUAUAAAUAAUUAAAGGUAAAUAACAUCUGUCAUCUAUUAUCUAUUGUAUUCUAUAUUGCUGUUAAUGUUUCAUGUAUACUGUAAUGUCUUUGCUUUCAAAUGCAAGUCAAAAGGGUGAACCCCAUUUAUAGUACUAUUCACGUUUGGCAAAUUUCACUUUUGACAUUGGUUUGGCUACACUAAUUGAACUGCUAACAGUGAGGGACUACUGUAAAUGUAGUAAUAAUUAUAAUUAUAAUAAUAAUAAUAAUAAUAAUAAUAAUAAUAAUAAUAAUAAUAAUAAUAAAAAGUAAUGAUAAAGUGCAAGACAUGUUCAUUAACGCAAUUAUUUUCUCCAACAUGGAGGAGUGAGGAGGCACAUCUGUCUGUGAUUAGGGAAUGCAAAUGACGAUGUUCCAAGGACGUCACCCUGUCCUGGGACAUGACAUGAGAGAGAAGAGGAAAAAAGGACUCUCUCUCUCUCUCUCUCUCUCUC
Scylla paramamosain (green mud crab) is the source of this 1441-nucleotide long non-coding RNA. RefSeq lists it as uncharacterized. The transcript is spliced from 6 exons. NCBI's taxonomy places the organism in Eukaryota, Metazoa, Arthropoda, Malacostraca, Decapoda, Portunidae. The record is from RefSeq and is a predicted model, not a curated record.